AUUCAGCUGAUGAGUACCAAAAUAGGACGAAACGCGCGUUUUGAAU
Non-coding RNA from Schistosoma curassoni, 46 nucleotides. Lineage: Eukaryota; Metazoa; Platyhelminthes; Trematoda; Strigeidida; Schistosomatidae. The record is from Rfam.